This 356-nucleotide ribosomal RNA is filed under the name uncultured bacterium. RNAcentral describes it as "partial 16S ribosomal RNA". It matches the Rfam family "Bacterial small subunit ribosomal RNA", at positions 338 to 686 of the family's 1533-position model. The record is from RNAcentral.
CCUACGGGAGGCAGCAGUGGGGAAUAUUGCGCAAUGGGCGAAAGCCUGACGCAGCGAUGCCGCGUGAGGGAUGAAGGUCUUCGGAUCGUAAACCCCUGUCAGCAGGGAAGAACGGUCUCUGUUCUAUUCAGCUGUGAAUUGACGGUACCUGCAAAGGAAGCACCGGCUAACUCCGUGCCAGCAGCCGAGGUAAUACGGAGGGUGCGAGCGUUAAUCGGAAUUACUGGGCGUAAAGCGCUCGUAGGCGGUAUGUCAAGUCAAGUGUGAAAUCCACGGGCUUAACGUGGGAACUGCAUUUGAAACUGGCCAGCUGGAGUGUUGGAGAGGAGAGUGGAAUUCCAGGUGUAGGAGUGAAA